RNAcentral lists this ribosomal RNA (1189 nucleotides) under uncultured bacterium. RNAcentral's name for it is "bacterial SSU rRNA". It matches the Rfam family "Bacterial small subunit ribosomal RNA", at positions 211 to 1401 of the family's 1533-position model. The record is from RNAcentral.
GCUAUCACUUGAGGAUGAGUCCAUGGCCUAUCAGCUUGUUGGUGAGGUAAAGGCUCACCAAGGCGAUGACGGGUAGCUGGUCUGAGAGGACGACCAGCCACACUGGUACUGAGACACGGACCAGACUCCUACGGGAGGCAGCAGUGAGGAAUAUUGGUCAAUGGGCGGAAGCCUGAACCAGCCAUGCCGCGUGCGGGAUGAAGGCCCUACGGGUUGUAAACCGCUUUUCCCCGGGAAGAAUAACCCCGACGCGUCGGGGGAUGCCGGUACCGGGGGAAUAAGGAUCGGCUAACUCCGUGCCAGCAGCCGCGGUAAUACGGAGGAUCCGAGCGUUAUCCGGAUUUACUGGGUUUAAAGGGUGCGUAGGCGGCCCUGCAAGUCAGCGGUGAAAUGUGGCGGCUCAACCGUUUCGCUGCCGCUGAUACUGUGGGGCUUGGAUGCGGUCGAGGCGGGUGGAAUUCGUGGUGUAGCGGUGAAAUGCAUAGAUAUCACGAGGAGCGCCGAUAGCGAAGGCAGCUCGCCGGGCCGCGAUCGACGCUGAGGCACGAAAGCGUGGGGAUCAAACAGGAUUAGAUACCCUGGUAGUCCACGCCGUAAACGAUGAUGGCUGGGUGUGCGCCCGCGAGGGCGCGUGCCUGAGGGAAACCAUUAAGCCAUCCACCUGGGGAGUACGGCCGCAAGGCUGAAACUCAAAGGAAUUGACGGGGGCCCGCACAAGCGGAGGAACAUGUGGUUUAAUUCGAUGAUACGCGAGGAACCUUACCUGGGCUCGAACGCUUCUGGAAUCACGCCGAAAGGCGUGAGCCGGCAACGGCCGGGAGCGAGGUGCUGCAUGGUUGUCGUCAGCUCGUGCCGUGAGGUGUCGGGUUAAGUCCCAUAACGAGCGCAACCCCUACCGCCAGUUGCCAGCGGGUGAAGCCGGGGACUCUGGCGGGACUGCCGGCGUAAGCCGAGAGGAAGGCGGGGAUGACGUCAAAUCAGCACGGCCCUUACGUCCAGGGCUACACACGUGUUACAAUGGCCGGUACAGAGGGAGGCGACCCCGCGAGGGGGAGCGGAUCCCGAAAGCCGGUCGUAGUUCGGAUCGGGGUCUGGAACCCGACCCCGUGAAGCCGGAUUCGCUAGUAAUCGCGCAUCAGCCAUGGCGCGGUGAAUACGUUCCCGGGCCUUGCACACACCGCCCGUCAAG